CAGCCGCGGUAAUACAGAGGGUGCGAGCGUUAAUCGGAUUUACUGGGCGUAAAGCGCGCGUAGGUGGCUAAUUAAGUCAAAUGUGAAAUCCCCGAGCUUAACUUGGGAAUUGCAUUCGAUACUGGUUAGCUAGAGUAUGGGAGAGGAUGGUAGAAUUCCAGGUGUAGCGGUGAAAUGCGUAGAGAUCUGGAGGAAUACCGAUGGCGAAGGCAGCCAUCUGGCCUAAUACUGACACUGAGGUGCGAAAGCAUGGGGAGCAAACAGGAUUAGAUACCCUGGUAGUCCAUGCCGUAAACGAUGUCUACUAGCCGUUGGGGCCUUUGAGGCUUUAGUGGCGCAGCUAACGCGAUAAGUAGACCGCCUGGGGAGUACGGUCGCAAGACUAAAACUCAAAUGAAUUGACGG
This 405-nucleotide ribosomal RNA is filed under the name uncultured rumen bacterium. Its description in RNAcentral is "bacterial SSU rRNA". It matches the Rfam family "Bacterial small subunit ribosomal RNA", at positions 512 to 916 of the family's 1533-position model. The record is from RNAcentral.